Molecule: non-coding RNA, 27 nt
Filed under: Mus musculus (house mouse)
Lineage: Eukaryota; Metazoa; Chordata; Mammalia; Rodentia; Muridae
Source: RNAcentral
UAUCUCUCACUCUGCCUGCCCUUACAG